Molecule: ribosomal RNA, 1577 nt
Filed under: Thysanotaenia congolensis
Lineage: Eukaryota; Metazoa; Platyhelminthes; Cestoda; Cyclophyllidea; Anoplocephalidae
Description: partial 28S ribosomal RNA
Rfam family: Eukaryotic large subunit ribosomal RNA
Source: RNAcentral
UCGGCUAGCGGGAUCGCCACUCCACUCGAAGUCCAGCAUUGAGUAUGGUUAUCACUGGAUUUGGCCCAGAGAGGGUGAGAGGCCCGUACGAGUGGAGGUUCAGACAUGUGGGGCGGUUCACCAGGCCGACCUCAGAGUCGGGUUGUUUGAGAUUGCAGCCCAAAGUGGGUGGUAGACUCCAUCCAAGGCUAAAUACUGGCACGAGUCCGAUAGCGAACAAGUACCGUGAGGGAAAGUUGAAAAGUACUCUGAAGAGAGAGUAAACAGUACGUGAAACCGCAUGCAGGUAAACGGGUGGCGUCAAGCUGCGAGCUCGGAGAAUUCAGCUGACCAGAGUGUAGUGUGCGCGUCUGUGGCGUCGAGGGGCCGGAGUAAGAUGUGGUGGUCCACCUCUUUUGUAGGGGUGGGGCGUGGCUGCGAUUUCGGUUGCGGCUGUCGCUACGCGUGCCGAGUUGUGUGUCGGAGCGUGCUGCUCAUCUGUGGGGCCGUCUGGUGAGUGCACUUUCUCCGUGGUGAACACCACGACCGGUGGUAUUGCCAGUCCACCAUGGUCAAGUCGUGUUUCUCUGAUGGCUUUGUUGUCCUGUCCAUCCAUCCGUCCAUCCGUCCAUCCGUCCAUCCUCCUUCUGGGGUGUGGACGGUGAUGGUGGUGGUGAUGGUGAUGGUGAUGGCGAGGGCUGUUUGGGGGACGCGAUCGCGGAUGGGAGGGGUGCACGGCGUAGCGGUGCCUCGGUGCUGUUGCGUGUUAUCGUGCAUUCACCGUCAACGGGGUGUGGGAGUGUAGGCGUCUCGUCUCUAGGCGUUGGGCUGUGAUCGCGCUCCCUGUGCAUCUCGGCGGGCCAUGGUGGUGAAAGUAACUGUGCAGGGCACCGUGUUUAGCCGCCUCAGCUGAUUGGCUGAUGGGUUUUUCCGUCCCGUUGGUCGAUGGGUCAAGGGUAUCUAGCACGCACGUCACAGGUGCAAUGAGGAUGCUCGCGCGUCUGUCCGUGCUCGUUGGGCUGGGCUGGCGUGUUGCUCGCGCAAAGUGGGCUCGCUAGCGGUCUGGCGUGUCCGUUGCCAUUACCGCCGCUACUACUGCGGCAUUGCGGUGUGACGAUGCAGUGUGGCAAUGCAGUGGAUGGAUUUGCGCGUGGCAUUGUGUGCUAAAGCAUUUGCUUUGGAUACCGGGGGCGAGAUAGUCAGUGGUGCUGUGGUAGACGAGCUACCCGACCCGUCUUGAAACACGGACCAAGGAGUUUAACAUGUGUGCGAGUCCGAGGGUCUUACGAAACCCCAAGGCGCAGUGAAAGUGAAGUUAGUCCGUGUUUGCGUACCUGAGCACACCUGCGCGGUGCGCCACGGCGAGGUGAGAUCCUGCUGUUGACCUACUCACCGUCAGUGUAGCCUGGCUAAUUAGGAGCAGUAGGCGCAUCACCGGCCCGUCCCACGAUGUGAACAUUGGCAAUGGCGUGGUAGUGUGCGCGUGAGCGUGGACUCGCUGCGUCGGUCAGUGUGCCAUUGGGGCGGAGCAUGAGCACACAUGUUGAGACCCGAAAGAUGGUGAACUAUGCUUGCGUAGGUUGAAGCCAGAGGAAACU